GGAAUAUUGGACAAUGGGGGCAACCCCGAUCCAGCCAUGCCGCGUGUGUGAAGAAGGCUUUCGGGUUGUAAAGCACUUUCAGUGAGGAAGAAAGCCUUGGGCUUAAUACGUCCGAGGAAGGACAUCACUCACAGAAGAAGCACCGGCUAACUCCGUGCCAGCAGCCGCGGUAAUACGGAGGGUGCAAGCGUUAAUCGGAAUUACUGGGCGUAAAGCGCGCGUAGGUGGUUUGAUAAGCGAGAUGUGAAAGCCCCGGGCUUAACCUGGGAACGGCAUUUCGAACUGUCAGGCUAGAGUAUGGUAGAGGAGUGUGGAAUUUCCUGUGUAGCGGUGAAAUGCGUAGAUAUAGGAAGGAACACCAGUGGCGAAGGCGGCACUCUGGACCAAUACUGACACUGAGGUGCGAAAGCGUGGGGAGCA
This 420-nucleotide ribosomal RNA is filed under the name uncultured bacterium. RNAcentral's name for it is "bacterial SSU rRNA". It matches the Rfam family "Bacterial small subunit ribosomal RNA", at positions 358 to 770 of the family's 1533-position model. The record is from RNAcentral.